CCCGCCCUGACGCUGUGCAGUACCUUUGAAGUAUUUUGAUGGUCACAUGUCGUGGUCACUGUCUGAGGUCAGGAGAGAAUGUGAAUGUUCUUGUUCCCCUCAUCGGUACCGAUGACGGUGCAAACAGUUCCAAGCGUCUGAAACACACAACUGUAGCUCUUUGACUCAGGUUUGACACACGCACACACCCCCGCAUGGCUUUGUAUCACUGAACUCCCUUUACCAGUAUGUGUGUGUGUGUGUGUGUGUGUGUGUGUGUGUCUGUAUGUUUCUAUCAGGGCUCUGUGUUCAUCAUUCACCUGUGAUGUUCCUCUGACCCACUGUUUGACCCCCGGGGCUAAAAGGUCACUUGUUGUCACUAUUUUUUUUUUGUCAUAAUUGACCCAUAUUUGAUGUUUCAGGACAAAUCCGACCCGGUUCACUUUUAAAUUUUUGGUCCUCAAUCGGCUGCGUGUCUGAUGUUUAUUCAACGUGACCUCAGCGUGAACCCUGGAGUCACGUCUCAUCAAACGUCUAAAUGUAAAUAAUGGAGGAAACAAAUGUUUUAGUGACUGGUGAAGGAGCUCGUCGACGUUCCAGAGGCUUCUCUGAUAUUAGGUGUCGUUAGGAAAGACCCCCCCCAGAGGUGUGUGUGGGGCGUUACAGCUGGAGAGCGGCCCCUUCAUGGUCAUGGACUGUUCACCCUAGAGUCUGAUGGUGGUAGCAUUUAAACUUUUUUAAACUUUAUUGUGAACACACUAACAGGAUGAAGGGACAGUUUGCCCGACAACUGCUGAUGUCACCUCUGACCUAUCGUUGAUGACGGAGUGACCUGACGUGUUCACGUGGUCUGUGCUGUGGUCGUACUGUAAAAAGAUGUUAGCAUCCCCUCGUGAAGUUCCCACAGAUCUGGGAUUUCACAACAUUUUUUAAAAAGUUGUUUGUGGCAGAAACAGCGCCUCUAACUGGAGAGUACAGUAAUGCAUGUCCAUUUUACCAGGACAUCGAAGGCACCACUGUCUCUCACUCUCUGUACUUUAGGGUCCGGUCUACUUGAGUCGUGUUUUUAGGGAGUAGAAGACUCCAGCUAGCAGGGCGCGGCCAGUCGACUUUUUCCUAGGUCAGUUAAAGCAUCGCUGGCUUGCCUUUGUCACAAGCUGGUGGUCAUGUGGUCCAAGAUCUGGCCUCUCACACAGAUGAGUGACCAGUUUGGGCCAAAAUGACUCUUUUUUGCACAGUAAUCCUGCAGGUACCUAGAGGGAGAGAGGAAGAGAGAGAGAGGUUGAGAUUGUAUUGGAGUGUGUACCAGAUGAUUGUAUGAAGUCCAGUCCUCAGUCCAGUGUGUUCCUGUUCCUGUUCCUGCACAAAGAUCAUUUUAUUAGUGAUCAGACUUUAAGUCACAUUGAAUCACCUCAGGGAGAAAAACAGACUUUCACACACACACACACACACACACACACACUGCUACAGUCUUCAGUCCAUGAUGUCAUCACCAUCUCUCCAGGAUCCCAGGCCUCCUUCACUCAGUCAGUAUUGUUUCCUUCCUCAGUGUGUGAGUAAGGGCUUCACACUCCUCACGCGCUGUGUUUUUUUUAUCUCCCCCGUCCUCCCCCCUUCACCUCCACCACCAGUUUGUCCUUGUGUCUCUAUCGCUCUCUUCCUCUCGUCUCGUCUUCUUCUCCUGCUUGUUCAAGCAAAAUGCAAAGAAUGUUUCUAGCAAACACUUUUUGUAACAACUUUAAACAAAUAAAGUGAAAAAUUGACUUCUACCGCGGUGUUUUUUCAUCACUGAUGUAUGAAAGUGCUCCCCUUCUCCCUCUGCGUUUCCCCUGGUAACCACCAGGGGGGGCAAAGACCAAGGGCGGCCGUGCUGCAACUGGUAUCUGUGACGAACACAGUUACUUUAACCAAACUUAGAAAUGUCUUUAACCAAACCUGGAGAUGUCACGAUUACACGAUACGACAAUUAAUUGCCGUAUCAAGCGCUACGGUUAAUUAUUCGUUAAAGUUUCCUGAAUAUUGUCCGAAAAUAUUAUGCCGGAAUUAUAUUUAAGCCCAACUCAAACGGAACGAAAACAACGUUACACAACGUCCGCGUGUUUCCGCGUGUGUUGCUUUGUUUACGGUCCAUUCAAAUUGCAGAAUAGAGGCGUGACCACGUGGGAAAAUGGAAGAAGAAGAAGAAGAAGAAAACGAAGAAGAGUUAUUCCCCUCAAUCAAGCGCAUUUUACCAGCCGUGUUGGAUUAUUUUGACCACAUAUUAUGUUGACCACAUAAUAAAUAUUAUUAUUAUAACUCACAAUUGAUUAUUAAUAACUUAAGACCUACAUGGAAUGUUGUGAAAUCAAUUAACAAUAAUCGUGAUAUUCGAAAUAUCGUGAUAAAUUCUCUGACAAUAAACUGUAAUCGUGACAUCACUGCUAAUGACACACACACACAUAGGAGUGAAGGAUUCUGGGAGCAGCUCCUGAACCUGUGGCCUCCCUCCAUCCUCGUGCCUCACUCAGUGUGUUUACUCUUGUUCACUGGUGCGGUCAUGUGUUUGACGAAGGACAUGAUGUGACCGAAGCCUGGGGGCGGGGGGUCCAGAGUGGACCGAGGUCUUCGGGGUCAGACUCGGGGAAUUUUCCUCCUGUUUAGAAACCAAUGCAGUUGAACCCAUGUGUAGUUUAAUAUUAAAUUAUUUGUGUUCUCAGGUGUGACCGGGGUCAUAUCAUAGAUGUCCACUGUCCUGAUGAUCAUCACUGAUGAAUAACUUUGACUGGUCCACAUGGUCCAACUAUGGGAAAACAAACAGCGAGAGCAAAGUCCAUCUGGACAGAGUGGAAAUGGAAAUGAGGUGAAUGACCUCUGGAGGGAGAGGGUGGGGGAGGAGAGAGUUUGGAACCAGCUCCUGUUCCAGAGGAGGACUCAUUUUCUACAGUGAGAGAAAAACGACCAGUGUCGAGGAGAAGACGUGUCAUCGGAGGGAGUGAAGAACAGACCGAUCCUGGUUCUUCAGCUGAAAGAACUUCAGCCAAAGAUGACAGUGUGUUCUAGAAGUACCAGGUGGAGGAGCGGGUGGUGCAGCACCACAUCACCUCUGGUCCACGUCCUGUGUCUGGUCCUCACAGUGGUCUACGUCCUGCUGGACAAACUCAGGAACUUCGUGGCCGGAAUCUUCAUCCCUCAGUACCAUUGUCCGUACGUGGUGGCGCUCUCUUUCGCUCAGGUUCUUGUGUCAUUGUUGGUUCUAAACCUGCUCCAUCUUCUGGGUCUGGUUCCUCUGAAGCCCGUCUCCUGUUCUCUGGCUGAGAAGCUGCUGGUUCCCUCCAUCUGUGGCAGCGUUCUCACGGUUCUGUCUCUGUGGGCUCAGGCCAACGGUUCCUCCUCUGGACUCUUCUCUGUCACUCUCCCUCUGCUGCCUCUCCUCACCGCAGCCUUCAGUUUCAUCCUGAAGCUGUCGACUCCGCCUUCAGCCCACGUCUGCGUCCUGGUGUCCAUGCUGAGUGGGACGUGUCUGGUCGCGGCAGUCUCCAGUGGUGUGUCCGUGGUGGAACCUCUGGAGAACCUCUACGCUCCUCUGGCCUCACUGCUCCACUGUCUCUCCCUCAACUGGCUCCUCAAAGUAUCUGAGGCCGAGCGUCUCCACCACUCCGACGACUCCACGUCCGUUUUUCACCUCUUCCACGCCCAGCUGGUGGUCCAGAUGUGGGUGUUGGGCCUCCUGUGGCUCCUCCACCCAGACGGUCCAGGGGAGGUGUUGAGUCAGGGCAGCUGGAACAGCCUGCUCUUCCAUGGAUACCUGCUGGCUCUGCUGCUGCUGGGAAUGCUCCUCAACUUCCUGGUGUUCGCGACGGCUCUCUGCGUGUCUCCACUGUCUGCGGCGAUGCUGCUCUCAGCAGAACAGGUUCUCAAGAUGUUGGUCUCCGUUCUGUGACAUCACCUCAACAACUGUGCUGUGGAACUGGUCUUGUAUCACGGUUCGUUUACACUUAGGGAUGACCUCAGAACCAGGACCAGAACCAGCACCAGGUUCAGCAUGCACCCUCUCUCCCCGACUCACCCUGAAGUAGCCGUUGCUCUUCAGACUGCCCAGGAAUCCUUUCCACUGAGGGUUACAGCUGACGGGGGCGUCGGGCUCAGACGACGGCAGUCUGCAUUUAGAACACAGAAUCUCAAAGCCAUGGGCCUGAGGUCAGAGCAGGGAGAAAAACAGGAACCAAAAGGUUUAAAAAAAAGAAAAGGUUUACUUCUUAUUUAAUUCUCAUUAUUGUCCGUCUAAUAAGAAACAAAUACUGAACCAGUUUCAUUCCCAGCUCGUGAGCUUUGUACUGAGGAUGGGAACUCGGAGGCAGAGAGAAGCCACUCCUCCGGUCGGGGCUGAAGUGUUGCUGCUGCAGCUGAGCGUACAGGCAGCGGGUGAACGUCACCUGAGGGUGUAGAGUGAGGACAGAGACACGGAGAAGAUAAGAACAAUGUAGAACGUCAAUGAACGUCACACUCUGUUCCGUCUGCUCAGCUACUGUCCCAUAUUUACCGAGGUCAAGACCCGCGUGUCAGGAGGGAACGUCCUGAAGCUCCGGCACGCCUGUAGAUCUACUGGAUCCCGCAGAUAAAAGGCUGACACUGCAGGAGCGACCAGGUCUGGUCUUAGUGUCAACACCUGAGCGACGCCCGCAGGUACGAAGCAAUGAGCACGAUGGAGAUUGGUUCCAAUCUUCUCUGGAUACCUACCAACAAAAGAUAAUGAACAGUUAUUUUUGGACUUGCUCUGCAGGCGUCAGGCUGGGUGUAGAGCAACGACAGAGCCUGUGCCACACUGGGUACCACAUCCUUGGCAAUUCCCAGUGGACUGGAUUUGGACGGACAAGGAAGGAUGUGUAAUUCUCCC
This is an RNA transcript of Cynoglossus semilaevis (tongue sole), 4852 nucleotides long. RefSeq lists it as uncharacterized. The record is from RefSeq and is a predicted model, not a curated record. The transcript has 8 exons. NCBI's taxonomy places the organism in Eukaryota, Metazoa, Chordata, Actinopteri, Pleuronectiformes, Cynoglossidae.